AUUGAACGCUGGCGGCAUGCUUUACACAUGCAAGUCGAACGGCAGCGCGGGCUUCGGCCUGGCGGCGAGUGGCGAACGGGUGAGUAAUGCAUCGGAACGUGCCCAGUAGUGGGGGAUAGCCCGGCGAAAGCCGGAUUAAUACCGCAUACGACCUGAGGGUGAAAGCGGGGGACCGAAAGGCCUCGCGCUAUUGGAGCGGCCGAUGUCGGAUUAGCUAGUUGGUGGGGUAAAGGCUUACCAAGGCGACGAUCCGUAGCUGGUCUGAGAGGACGACCAGCCACACUGGGACUGAGACGCGGCCCAGACUCCUACGGGAGGCAGCAGUGGGGAAUUUUGGACAAUGGGGGCAACCCUGAUCCGGCCAUGCCGCGUGCGGGAAGAAGGCCUUCGGGUUGUAAACCGCUUUUGUUCGGGAAGAAAUCCUCUGGGCUAAUACCCCGGGGGGAUGACGGUACCGGAAGAAUAAGCACCGGCUAACUACGUG
Molecule: ribosomal RNA, 484 nt
Filed under: uncultured bacterium
Lineage: Bacteria
Description: partial 16S ribosomal RNA
Rfam family: Bacterial small subunit ribosomal RNA
Source: RNAcentral